GGAUCUGAGAGAAUCUGUGACAUCUGUCAGCCCAUUGAUCACCAGGGUUGAUUUGGCUGAUCUGGCUGGCUGAGGUGGGUGUCCUCUUCCUCCCUCACAGCUCCAUGUUCAUCCCUUCCAAAGCUGCAUGCUAUGUUGAAGAGGAGGACCUUCCCCAAUAAAGAAGGACCAUUCUUCAGUCAAGGGCAUAGGAGCAGCUGCGCUUGCCUGCUAGAACCUCCAAACAAGCUCUCAAGGUCCAUAUGUAGGAGAAGUUAGGGUAGUCAAGCUUCCCAUACUUCAAACACAUCCAAAUAAGGCCUGCAUGUGGCAGUCUGCCUUU
Molecule: small nuclear RNA, 322 nt
Filed under: Neogale vison (American mink)
Lineage: Eukaryota; Metazoa; Chordata; Mammalia; Carnivora; Mustelidae
Description: Neovison vison (American mink) 7SK RNA (ENSNVIG00000009343.1)
Rfam family: 7SK RNA
About the family: 7SK was discovered as an abundant small nuclear RNA in the mid-70s but a possible function has only recently been suggested. Two independent studies have found that 7SK RNA binds the CDK9/cyclin T complex (known as elongation factor P-TEFb).
Source: Rfam by way of RNAcentral